RNAcentral lists this ribosomal RNA (305 nucleotides) under uncultured bacterium. Its description in RNAcentral is "bacterial SSU rRNA". It matches the Rfam family "Bacterial small subunit ribosomal RNA", at positions 335 to 658 of the family's 1533-position model. The record is from RNAcentral.
UUUCCUACGGGAGGCAGCAGUGGGGGAUAUUGCACAAUGGGGGGAACCCUGAUGCAGCGACGCCGCGUGGGUGAAGAAGCGCCUCGGCGCGUAAAGCCCUGUCAGCAGGGAAGAAAAUGACGGUACCUGAAGAAGAAGCCCCGGCUAACUACGUGCCAGCAGCCGCGGUAAUACGUAGGGGGCAAGCGUUGUCCGGAAUUACUGGGUGUAAAGGGAGCGUAGGCGGGAUGGCAAGUUGGGUGUUAAAUCUACCGGCUCAACUGGUAGUCGCACUCAAAACUGCUAUUCUUGAGUGAAGUAGAGGC